GCUCCUCCCGUCUCAUUUGGGCCUUUGCGGAGCAGCUGCUGCCCACACAACGCAGGGAGCGCUAUUCACAUGUGAGCACAUUAGUCACCAGAUGUCACCUUUUGCUGCCAGCCCGCUCCACAUCCAGCCACACAAUCGCACACAUGCACAUGAGGAGGGAACAUCUGACUGACUUCCUUCAGAGGGUUCGGUUGGACUCCUGACUGGCUUGGGAGUGGACACUGACACCUACAGUCCCCACCUACAUGUCCACCUGGCGCGCUCAUCUUUCAAGACCCUGGAAAAUGAAUUCGGAGAUCGGGGUUUGAAGAUCAUUUCUGAAAACAUGCGAAGACUGACAACUCUGUGGUACUUCACUUGUGGAGAUAUAGCAUAAAACAGUUUUUCGGAUUUUGACUAAAACGAGGCUUAAUUACUUGAAGGAUCUUGAGUGUCUUUGUUCACAUCGGGGGGUUAUCUGGCGCAAUUGUAUGCCCACACCCCAAAAAUGCAUCUUGCCUUUGGAAAGUCCGCUGGCGUGGCCGCUUUAGAGUGCCUCGUUGUUGGCCGCGAGUGCACGCAUGUCACUCAAGAGAGAGGCAGAAUAGCAAGAAGGUGGAAUUUUUUUCUCUCGUCCUACUUGACAGCUUCGGUCUGCUGUGGCUGCUUUAGAACGCUCCGUUGUCGGCCUUGAGUGCUUGCACGUCACACAGAGAAAGGCAGAAAAGCGAUGAUGCGGAUGUCCAACCUGACAGCCAAGAUGAGGAUUGGGGCUUCGUGCUGGCUUGACCACUUCAGAGCGCCUCGUUGUCAGCUAUGAGUGUGUGGACAUCACACAGAGAAAGGCAGAAGUGCAAGGAGGGGGGAAUUUGUUUUUUAAAAGUCCGACUUCACAGCCAGCGGGUGGACCGGGGCUUCACACUGAUGUCACCGCUUUGGAGCGCCUCAUUGUCGCGGCGUGGAAAAGCCCCGCGACGACGCGGUGGGAUAUAUUCCAGCCACCGGAGGCUUUAAGCGGAUAUAUUUUUGUGGCUACCCACUAUUUCUUUUCCAUAUAAAAACUGCAGCGUGAAUGAAAGAGAAUGGAUUUUACAGGCCAAAAAGCGCAACAUUCUCUACCUGGGUGGAGAAUUUUGGAUUGUUUACAUGUUGUUUUUCCCCCUCCUGCAUCUGAAACAUGUCUAAGCUGCGCUGCGAUGCUCACUGGCAGCUCAGAUCUUCCCUCCGACAGCCGCAACAGAUCCGCCGCUGUCACCUUCAGGGCAUCAAACGUGCGCCUGCACAGGAGACGACCCUGGGGGCGUCGGUGGGGCGAGGACGAGCGACAAUGAUGAGAUUGGGGCGUCUCUAUGCAGCCAGCAUGACUCCACUGGUGAACGAGCGCCACCUGUUGGCGAUAGUGACACAGGCAACGCGAGUGCAGGAGGGAGGAGGGGCUGACACCAAUGCAGGGAACGUGGAAGGAAGAGGAUGAAGAGCUGAUCUGCAUUAAAAGGAGGCGAGGCGGGAUCGAUACGCCGUCGCCGCUCAAUGCUACGCGGGCGCUGUUAUGAAUCUUGGCAGGCCGUGGAAAUCAAGCACAGUCAUUAGUCAUGUUAAUUACACCAAGAUAGCGACCGCAUUGAUGCCCGUAAUUGUCUUCUCGGAUUUGUGCAUGCUGUUCAAACGACGCUAUUAUGUUGACCGUUUCAGCUAACCAACACAGCAACGCCUUAGUUCCGUCGUCAUCGUCAUCAGACAACUCCUAGUUCGAGUCAGCAUUCCAGCAGAGUCAUAGUAAUGUUACUACAGUCGGCCCUCGCACUCAACACGCCAAGUGGCUAACAGGUUAGCCAGUUAACAGCCAGCCACUCUACACUCUCGUUCGCUGACUCCCACGUCACUCAACAGGCCAGGGCCCGCCUUUAAAAGCCACAGUCACAGAUACUACAGUAUAUUAAUACAUCCACCUCACAUGCAUAUUUUGUUUUGGUAUUAUACAUAAACCUGUUUAAUAAUAUAAAUAAUUAAAUAAAUGUAGGGUUGCCAUACUUCGUGGAUUUUCGUUAAUCGCUGGGGGUUCUGGAACGUGACCCCCACAAUAAAUGAGGCACUAUUUUUAAAUUAUUCAUAGUGAAUUUCAAUCACUUUUAUGGGAGUAAAUCCUUUUAUCCAUCCAUCCAUCCAUCCAUCCAUUUUCUGUACCGCUUAUCCUCACUAGGGUCACGGGUAUGCUGGAACCUAUCCCAGCUAACUGCGGGCCGGAGGCGGGGUACGCCCUGAACCGGUCGCCAGCCAAUCGCAGAGCACAUAGAAACAAACAACCAUUCACACUCACAUUCACACCUACGGGCAAUUUAGAGUCUUCAAUCAACCAACCACGCAUGUUUUUGAGAUGUGGGAGGAAACCGAGUACCUGGAGAAAAGCCACGCAGGCACGGAGAGAACAUGCAAACUCCACACAG
Molecule: long non-coding RNA, 2423 nt
Organism: Phyllopteryx taeniolatus (common seadragon)
Lineage: Eukaryota; Metazoa; Chordata; Actinopteri; Syngnathiformes; Syngnathidae
Exons: 3
Source: RefSeq, a predicted model, not a curated record